Molecule: long non-coding RNA, 345 nt
Filed under: Marmota monax (woodchuck)
Lineage: Eukaryota; Metazoa; Chordata; Mammalia; Rodentia; Sciuridae
Source: RNAcentral
ACCAAGUCACAGCCCCCAGAUCCAUACAUGGUGGGUGAGACGCUACGGCUCAGGUGCUGACCUCUGCCUGCCAAGGUGCACAGUCCCAGACACAGGGCCAGAUGACACUCUAUUCCUGAUAUGAUCCUCAGGGACCCGCUACAUAGACCCCGCCCUGUGUAAAGGGACAGGCUGGCUCAGUAGGAAUGGCUCUGUGACUCUAACAGAAUCCUAGCAUAUAAAUGGUGGCUUUCCAACACCUUUGAGGCCAGCUCUGAGUGUGGGGAUUAGAAGCCAUAGAAGCAGCACCAAAUGGAGGUAAGUUGUACUGCUCCAAUGGCUUUUUCAAAGCACCUUCCUCUUUCC